CAACUCUUGUCGUCACACAAGAGUCCUCACUUGAAACCUCAAUUGCGAAAUCCAGAAAAGCAGAAAAGAGAACGCAACUGAUCCGAGUUCAGAUCUAAAACCCGCUGAUCCUAGCCAAAGAAACCUCUCUAGAAGAACACAAGUUCAGAUCUGUGCGAAAUUGUCGAAAUCUGGAUCUGUGAUUCAAAUCUGUGAGCAGCUGUUACUUGCUGAUGGAUUGAUGAUUGCGGCUGGAAUCAAGUCGGUAAACACUAGAGAGACCUCUCUAACUCUUCCCGAUGAUGGCUGAUGAUCUCCUGCUGUCAACAUCGUUCGAACAGGGGCGGAAAUGAAGAUUUGAAUCGCAGCAAAGCUUGCCGUCGAGACCUCUUUGGCAACCCUCCAGCUUUAGGAAAUUAGGUUGGUAAUGAUGCUGAAAACCUUGCUGGAAAUUCUGAUUAUGCUGCUGGAAACCUUGCUGAGGUUGCUGGAAAUUGCUGGAAUUGUGGCUGAAAUGCUGAUUUGAAGAUGGUUGUUGAUAGAAUGAAUUUUCAUACUUCAAAUUCGGAUGAUCUCUCCACCCCGGAUUGUAUGUGGAUGAAUAAGGAUCAUGUUUUUGUUGGAAUUGAGCUCUAGAGAAAGCUGCCAAAGAUUCAUCCUGAUGGAGAUUUGGACAAAGUCUGAAAGGUGAUCUUGACUCGAACAAAUGCUACAAACUAUGCUUUGUUUACAUGGAAAUUGCAUA
Zingiber officinale is the source of this 724-nucleotide long non-coding RNA. RefSeq lists it as uncharacterized. NCBI's taxonomy places the organism in Eukaryota, Viridiplantae, Streptophyta, Magnoliopsida, Zingiberales, Zingiberaceae. The record is from RefSeq and is a predicted model, not a curated record. The transcript is spliced from 2 exons.